This 482-nucleotide ribosomal RNA is filed under the name uncultured bacterium. RNAcentral describes it as "partial 16S ribosomal RNA". It matches the Rfam family "Bacterial small subunit ribosomal RNA", at positions 30 to 507 of the family's 1533-position model. The record is from RNAcentral.
AUUGAACGCUGGCGGCAUGCUUUACACAUGCAAGUCGAACGGCAGCGCGGGGCAACCUGGCGGCGAGUGGCGAACGGGUGAGUAAUAUAUCGGAACGUACCCAGAAGUGGGGGAUAACGUAGCGAAAGUUACGCUAAUACCGCAUACGAUCUACGGAUGAAAGUGGGGGAUCGCAAGACCUCAUGCUUUUGGAGCGGCCGAUAUCUGAUUAGCUAGUUGGUAGGGUAAAGGCCUACCAAGGCGACGAUCAGUAGCUGGUCUGAGAGGGCGACCAGCCACACUGGGACUGAGACACGGCCCAGACUCCUACGGGAGGCAGCAGUGGGGAAUUUUGGACAAUGGGCGCAAGCCUGAUCCAGCAAUGCCGCGUGAGUGAAGAAGGCCUUCGGGUUGUAAAGCUCUUUUGUCAGGGAAGAAACGGCCGAGGCUAAUACCUUUGGCUAAUGACGGUACCUGAAGAAUAAGCACCGGCUAACUACGUG